UACGAAGGGGGCUAGCGUUGCUCGGAAUUACUGGGCGUAAAGGGCGCGUAGGCGGACAUUUAAGUCAGGGGUGAAAUCCCAGAGCUCAACUCUGGAACUGCCUUUGAUACUGGAUGUCUUGAGUGUGAGAGAGGUAUGUGGAACUCCGAGUGUAGAGGUGAAAUUCGUAGAUAUUCGGAAGAACACCAGUGGCGAAGGCGACAUACUGGCUCAUUACUGACGCUGAGGCGCGAAAGCGUGGGGAGCAAACAGG
RNAcentral lists this ribosomal RNA (253 nucleotides) under uncultured bacterium. RNAcentral describes it as "partial 16S ribosomal RNA". It matches the Rfam family "Bacterial small subunit ribosomal RNA", at positions 524 to 776 of the family's 1533-position model. The record is from RNAcentral.